UGCAGUCGAGCGGAUCUUCAUUAGCUUGCUUUUGAAGAUCAGCGGCGGACGGGUGAGUAACACGUGGGCAACCUGCCUGUAAGACUGGGAUAACUUCGGGAAACCGGAGCUAAUACCGGAUAAUCCUUUCCCUCACAUGAGGGAAAGCUGAAAGACGGUUUCGGCUGUCACUUACAGAUGGGCCCGCGGCGCAUUAGCUAGUUGGUGAGGUAAUGGCUCACCAAGGCAACGAUGCGUAGCCGACCUGAGAGGGUGAUCGGCCACACUGGGACUGAGACACGGCCCAGACUCCUACGGGAGGCAGCAGUAGGGAAUCUUCCGCAAUGGACGAAAGUCUGACGGAGCAACGCCGCGUGAACGAUGAAGGCUUUCGGGUCGUAAAGUUCUGUUGUCAGGGAAGAACAAGUACCGGAGUAACUGCCGGUACCUUGACGGUACCUGACCAGAAAGCCACGGCUAACUACGUGCCAGCAGCCGCGGUAAUACGUAGGUGGCAAGCGUUGUCCGGAAUUAUUGGGCGUAAAGCGCGCGCAGGCGGUUCCUUAAGUCUGAUGUGAAAGCCCCCGGCUCAACCGGGGAGGGUCAUUGGAAACUGGGGAACUUGAGUGCAGAAGAGGAGAGCGGAAUUCCACGUGUAGCGGUGAAAUGCGUAGAGAUGUGGAGGAACACCAGUGGCGAAGGCGGCUCUCUGGUCUGUAACUGACGCUGAGGCGCGAAAGCGUGGGGAGCGAACAGGAUUAGAUACCCUGGUAGUCCACGCCGUAAACGAUGAGUGCUAAGUGUUAGAGGGUUUCCGCCCUUUAGUGCUGCAGCAAACGCAUUAAGCACUCCGCCUGGGGAGUACGGCCGCAAGGCUGAAACUCAAAGGAAUUGACGGGGGCCCGCACAAGCGGUGGAGCAUGUGGUUUAAUUCGAAGCAACGCGAAGAACCUUACCAGGUCUUGACAUCCUCUGACAACCCUAGAGAUAGGGCGUUCCCCUUCGGGGGACAGAGUGACA
This 999-nucleotide ribosomal RNA is filed under the name Mesobacillus thioparans. RNAcentral describes it as "bacterial SSU rRNA". It matches the Rfam family "Bacterial small subunit ribosomal RNA", at positions 56 to 1036 of the family's 1533-position model. The record is from RNAcentral. Lineage: Bacteria; Bacillati; Bacillota; Bacilli; Caryophanales; Bacillaceae.